ACAGAGAGGUAUCCCAGGCCGAGGGAAUCACCUGGGCAAAAGCCGGGGGGUGGGAGGGAGUGUGGAAUGUUUGUGUACCAGCAGGUCCUAGUUCAGGAGAGGGAAGAGUGGGUGUUGUGAGUCUGUGGGGGACCUGGGUGUCCAGGCAUGAGGUCAAAGAGAUAAUAGGCAUGGACCUCAUAGUCCAAGUGGGGCUCUAGCCAUGGGGAGCCACUGAGGGGUUAAGCAGGCAGAAGCCCCGCCAGCUCCUGAUUGGGUUUCAUCAGCCCAGCCUGUGGUUCCGCAGCAGCCUACCCAGCUGGGGCCUUUCUCCUGGCUCCCUUGGCCCAGGGAGCUCCCACUCAUUAUUCCACUGGGCAGAAGAACCAGCCCUUCUCAGCUCCUGGAAAGUGACUCUAUUGCUCCACUGGUCCUGGGACUUCCGCUUCAAGGAUAGCUGAACACAGCCUGUUCCUAGAUGUUGUAGUUCUUUGACUCAAGGAUUUACUGGAUGGACAGUGGCCUCAUAGGAGGGAAAGGAGCAUUUGGAACAGCCAGAAGAGAAGGCCCUAGAUUAAGCCUGGGCCAGUGACAGAGCCUCACCGUCUGGGGAUGGACAUUUCCCCAGGAAGUGCCACUGAAAUGAAAGUUACAGCUCACCUUCCCAGUGAUAUUAGUGACAGCUGGGCAGCACAACUUCUCUGCAGCCUUCCGUCACCACAGCUCAUCUUGAAGCUCUGACUGCAUGUUGCCAGUGUUUAAAAUCAGAGUUUGGGGUGAGUGAAUGUGGCAGGGGAAACCCUCCCUUGAGUUUUGAUUAUACCUAGGAUUAUUGGAUAUUAAGUUCGGAGAAAUAAAGACAUUCAAGAACAUAAAUGGGAGUUCCCG
This 867-nucleotide long non-coding RNA is filed under the name Sus scrofa (pig). RNAcentral's name for it is "lncRNA (ENSSSCG00015031041.1)". The record is from RNAcentral. Lineage: Eukaryota; Metazoa; Chordata; Mammalia; Artiodactyla; Suidae.